This 841-nucleotide ribosomal RNA is filed under the name uncultured Chaetothyriales. RNAcentral's name for it is "eukaryotic LSU rRNA". The stretch from base 471 to 624 matches the Rfam family "5.8S ribosomal RNA". Lineage: Eukaryota; Fungi; Ascomycota; Eurotiomycetes; Chaetothyriales. The record is from RNAcentral.
UGGUCAUUUAGAGGAAGUAAAAGUCGUAACAAGGUUUUCCUUCCGAUUAAAGAAUUUUAACUAUCGAAGCCUUACACAGCGACUCUAAAUAAAAUGUGCAGUCUUACCUAGGUAAAGACAAUACCGCUGAAAUGCUGUGAUCACGUAAGUGUACCAGCAGCCUAUUCUCUAGGCCCACAGAUCAAGUGGCGGUGGUCCAUGGUUAAAAAACCAUGGGCUAUAAUAUGACCGGUUCUAACCUCAAACGGUUAAGAAUUCAACGUUCCGUAGGUGAACCUGCGGAAGGAUCAUUAAUGAGUUAGGGUCUUCUAGGCUCAAUCUCCAACCCUUUGUAUAAUUACCUUGUUGCUUUGGCGUGCCCGUCUUUAACCGGACCGUCGGGGGUUUUUAACCCCUGGUCAGUGCUCGUCAGUAGCCCACAAUAAACUCUUUUAACCAUGUUAAAUCUGAAAUUAUUUAAAUAAACUAAAAACUUUCAACAACGGAUCUCUUGGUUCUGGCAUCGAUGAAGAACGCAGCGAAAUGCGAUAAGUAAUGCGAAUUGCAGAAUUCAGUGAGUCAUCGAAUCUUUGAACGCACAUUGCGCCCUUUAGUAUUCUGAAGGGCAUGCCUGUUCGAGCGUCAUUGUCACUAAUCAAGCCCGGCUUGCUGUUGGACCUCUUGUCGUUAAAAGACAGGCCCUAAAGAUAAUGACGGUGUUAUUAGAACCCUAGAUGCAAUGAGCUUUAACUAGCACGCAUGAUAGUGGCCUUUUAACCCGGUCUUUUUUAACUAAUUUUAAGGUUGACCUCGGAUCAGGUAGGAAUACCCGCUGAACUUAAGCAUAUCAAUAAGCGGAGGA